RNAcentral lists this ribosomal RNA (463 nucleotides) under Streptococcus cristatus. RNAcentral describes it as "bacterial SSU rRNA". It matches the Rfam family "Bacterial small subunit ribosomal RNA", at positions 28 to 475 of the family's 1533-position model. The record is from RNAcentral. Lineage: Bacteria; Bacillati; Bacillota; Bacilli; Lactobacillales; Streptococcaceae.
GACGAACGCUGGCGGCGUGCCUAAUACAUGCAAGUAGAACGCUGAAGGGAGAGCUUGCUCUUCUGGAUGAGUUGCGAACGGGUGAGUAACGCGUAGGUAACCUGCCUGGUAGCGGGGGAUAACUAUUGGAAACGAUAGCUAAUACCGCAUAGCAUUGACUAUUGCAUGAUAGUCAAUUGAAAGGUGCAAAUGUACCACUACCAGACGGACCUGCGUUGUAUUAGCUAGUUGGUGGGGUAACGGCUCACCAAGGCGACGAUACAUAGCCGACCUGAGAGGGUGAUCGGCCACACUGGGACUGAGACACGGCCCAGACUCCUACGGGAGGCAGCAGUAGGGAAUCUUCGGCAAUGGACGGAAGUCUGACCGAGCAACGCCGCGUGAGUGAAGGAGGUUUUCGGAUCGUAAAGCUCUGUUGUAAGAGAAGAACGAGUGUGAGAGUGAAAAGUUCACACUGUGACGG